ACUCCUACGGGAGGCAGCAGUGGGAAUAUUGGACAAUGGGGAAACCUGAUCCAGCCAUGCCGCGUGUGUGAAGAAGGCCUUCGGGUUGUAAAGCACUUUCAGUGGGGAGGAAAGGUUGAUGGUUAAUACCCAUCAGCUGUGACGUUACCCACAGAAGAAGCACCGGCUAACUCCGUGCCAGCAGCCGCGGUAAUACGGAGGGUGCAAGCGUUAAUCGGAAUUACUGGGCGUAAAGCGUGCGCAGGCGGUCUGUUAAGCGAGAUGUGAAAGCCCCGGGCUGCAACCU
This 286-nucleotide ribosomal RNA is filed under the name uncultured bacterium. RNAcentral describes it as "partial 16S ribosomal RNA". It matches the Rfam family "Bacterial small subunit ribosomal RNA", at positions 335 to 615 of the family's 1533-position model. The record is from RNAcentral.